GUACACGCUGUGACUAGCAUAUCAAUAAGCGGAGGAAAAGAAACUAACAAGGAUUCCCCUAGUAACGGCGAGUGAAGCGGGAAGAGCUCAAAUUUGAAAUCUUAAAGGGUUUCCCUUUACGAAUUGUAGUUUGAAGAAGUGUUUUCUGUUGAGGUUUUGGUAAAAGUUCUUUGGAAUAGGACAUCAUAGAGGGUGAGAAUCCCGUAUUUGACCUUUACUUUCAACUUUGUGAUACACUUUCAAAGAGUCGGAUUGUUUGGGAAUGCAGUCCAAAAUGGGUGGUAAAUUUCAUCUAAAGCUAAAUAUUGGCGAGAGACCGAUAGCGAACAAGUACCGUGAGGGAAAGAUGAAAAGAACUUUGAAAAGAGAGUUAAACAGUACGUGAAAUUGUCAAAAGGGAAGCGUUUAACACCAGUGUUGUUUUUCUGAAAAUCAAUUAAAGAACUGUUUAUGCUAAGUUGUUUAGACUUUAUCAGCUAACUGUUUAGUUUUGAGCUUUUCUUUAAUGCACUUUUCAGUUAACAAGUCAACAUCAAUUUCUUUUGCUGUAAAAAAGCUUGAGGAAGGUGACUUGAGAUUCGUCUUAAGUGUUUAUAGCCUCUUGCCUAUGCAGUCGGAGGGAUUGAGGUCUGCAGCGUAGAUCCUUCGGGGCUAAAUGCAUUUGUGCUAAGUUAUAGCAUUUCAUAGACAACUUGUUGACUAUGAUUUGUCUUGUAGCUUACUCGCUUAUGUUAUUUUACCUACGCUUAGGAUGUUGACAGCAGUAUAGACUGU
This 774-nucleotide ribosomal RNA is filed under the name uncultured Neocallimastigales. Its description in RNAcentral is "partial large subunit ribosomal RNA". It matches the Rfam family "Eukaryotic large subunit ribosomal RNA", at positions 22 to 637 of the family's 3401-position model. The record is from RNAcentral. Lineage: Eukaryota; Fungi; Neocallimastigomycota; Neocallimastigomycetes; Neocallimastigales.